Paramuricea clavata is the source of this 441-nucleotide non-coding RNA. The record is from the annotation of a GenBank genome assembly. NCBI's taxonomy places the organism in Eukaryota, Metazoa, Cnidaria, Anthozoa, Malacalcyonacea, Plexauridae.
UUUAAGAGUGGGCGAUGUGAAUAUGUGUUAUUAUAUUUAUGCAUUAACGGAUCAGUGAUUUCCGGCUGUAUAUAGCUUACUUUAAAUAUUCGUUAAUUAUUUAUUAUUUCAGUAAUCAAAACAUGCACAGCGUAGUAAGCGAAGAAAAUGGAAAUUAUGGAAUUGUUAUGGCAGAUUGUCAUGAAGCAUUUCAAAUCUAAAAUUUAACAUCAUAGCAAGAGGAAAUCUUUUGAAACAGUAAACCUAUUUGCAAUAUUAGCAAAGUAUUGUAAUACAGUAUACAUACAUUUCAUAGCGUUAUUACAAUAAGAAGAGUUAUAGGAGUAUUAACUCGAUAUUAUGUAUCUUAAUAGAGGGUGGGAAAGGGGGGAGGAGUAUGGGUCACGUUUCACAACGAAAAAAAAAGAAUUAAUUUUCACAACUCACGUGUCUUAAAGAAGC